RNAcentral lists this ribosomal RNA (460 nucleotides) under uncultured bacterium. RNAcentral describes it as "partial 16S ribosomal RNA". It matches the Rfam family "Bacterial small subunit ribosomal RNA", at positions 338 to 795 of the family's 1533-position model. The record is from RNAcentral.
CCUACGGGUGGCAGCAGUGAGGAAUAUUGGUCAAUGGGCGGAAGCCUGAACCAGCCAAGUCGCGUGAGGGAUUAAGGCCCUGCGGGUUGUAAACCUCUUUUGCCGGGGAGCAGUGGGCCGGACGCGUCCGGACCGGGAUAGUACCCGGAGAAAACGCAUCGGCUAACUCCGUGCCAGCAGCCGCGGUAAUACGGGGGAUGCGAGGGUUAUCCGGAUUUAUUGGGUUUAAGGGGUGCGUAGGGGGGCGUUUAGGCCGUCGGUAAAAUGUGGGGGCUCAACCCCGGCCUGCAGUCGGAACUGGGUGCCUUGAGUGGGCGAGAAGUAUGCGGAAUGCGUGGUGUAGCGGUGAAAUGCAUAGAUAUCACGCAGAACCCCGAUUGCGAAGGCAGCAUACCGGCGCCCUACUGACGCUGAGGCACGAAAGUGCGGGUAUCGAACAGGAUUAGAUACCCUAGUAGUC